Molecule: long non-coding RNA, 2246 nt
Organism: Leopardus geoffroyi (Geoffroy's cat)
Lineage: Eukaryota; Metazoa; Chordata; Mammalia; Carnivora; Felidae
Exons: 3
Source: RefSeq, a predicted model, not a curated record
GCCCUUGCCUUGUAGACCUCAAGAAAAUAGCUGCGGAGAGGUGAGGGGCUAUUUGGAGAAGGUCAGUUCUGAGCAACCUUUGCAGAGCGAGCAGGGUUUGACCCAGCAGAGAUGUGGAAAAGCUAGAAGCAGAGAGAGGAGGAAAGACUAGGAAACAAGGUGUCCAGAGUGAGGGGCUCAGCUGUCCAGAAGGAAGCCAGCAAGGACUCCAUUACAGUUGGGACAACCUGGGGCGGAGCCCCACGGAGGAAGAAGAGAACGGUGGAAGUAAAACUUCUCUGCCAAGUAAGGUAGAAGGAAGAGGGUGAUUUCCAUUUAUACUGCUAUAGGAGAAUGUUCUUUGUUGACAUGGAUCCCCACUGUGCUGUCUCUGAGGAGUGUCUAUCAUGGCAGGUACUGGCAUUGAAACAACACUGGCUGAUCUGCAUCUCUGUGAAGGGUGACACAUUCGUUCUCCCCAGUACUUAACUGAGAAGAGCUUUCCUGCCAAAGCAGAAGAUAGGUGCUGGAGGACACAAAGAUGUGGCUGUGACUGCCUGCUGGCCUCAGGGCAUGAGAAAAGCGGCCGAGUAAAUACAUACAGACAUUUACAUACAAAGUAAAGGAAUGGAAGUAAGUACAAAGUGCCUUGGGAACACAAAUAAGGAAGUAACUUGCUUUGAGUGGCAAAUCUGGCUUCACCAAAGAGGUUAAGUUUUGAAGGAUGAAAGGAGGUUUGCAGGGAAGGAGUAAAACAUCCAGGCAGAGGGAAUGUGACAGAAUGCACAGUAGCCCAGGUGAUGGCAUCUAGGGGAGGGCAGGUGGGUGGAGGAGGGCUGGUGGAGAGGCAGCUGCCACUGUCCACGGGGACCAGAUUAUGAAAAGCCUUGUUUGCCAUUUUUAUAAGGCAUUUGGAUUUCAUUCUAGUCACAACAUGGAGUCUACGCAGGCUGCUAAGCACAGGAAUGUCAAACAUCUGUGUUGUAUUAUAAUUUUGGCAUCGAUGUGGCAGAUGGAUGGGGACGCCCGGUUUAAGAGACCACAGAUUGUAAGGACCUGAACUAGACAAAUGGUGGGGGUCAUGGGUUGGGAGGGAGAGAAUGGGCUUAAGAGAUAUUAAGAAAGCAGAGUUAGUGGGAUUUGGGAACCUCAUAUGUCAGGAGGGAGUGAAACAGAAGAAUUGGGGGUGCUAGGCUUUUAGCUUAGACAACCGGAUUUGUGGAAAGGAAUUAUAAUUGACAGGUUUAGUCCUGGGUUACGAUGGAAAUGCCCAAGGAAGGGCACCAGGGGCCAUUACACAGAGGAAAGCACACUAUAUACAUACUCCAUAGACAAAAUCACAAGGUUUCUACAAAAAUCUGUAAAUCACCGAAAGUCCCUUCUGCUUCCCUGGGGCAAACCACUCUCCUUGGUGGUUUUCAGGAAGUCAGCUUGCCAAAAGACAAAAGGGAAGUCUCACUGUUUCACACACUGUGUGGUGUUUGCAUGUAUAAUCCUUGCCCUGCCUUUAUUCUACCAGUCUGUGCUUGAUUGGUCUCCCGCAUAUAUGAGUAAAUAUCAGCUGUGAUAAAUGUGUCAAAAUUGUUCUUCGAUAGUUAUUUCUGGACUCUCCAUCGAGAUCAGCGCACCUUAGUUCCCUCAUUGGAGCUUAUAUGUGGCAUCUCUUCUGGACACCUUGAAUUCUGAAUCGUCUUCCCUCGGCCCCUCUGGUAGGACUCUUUCAGUGGCCAUUAAGAUUUGUGACUCAGGGCACCUGAGUGGCUCAGUCAGUUGGCUUUUGAUUUUGGCUCAGGUCAUGAUCUCAUGGUUUGUCAGUUUGAGCCCCACAUCGGGUUCUGUGCUGACAGCCUGCUUGGGAUUCUCUCUCCCUCUCUCCCUUUCCCUCUCUCUUUCAAAAAUAAAUAAACUUAAAAAAAAAAUUUGUUACUCUUGCAUGCUGAAACCGGGUCCUGAACAGUUUUGUCUCAACAGCAGCUGCUUUUUUUUUUUUUUUUUCCAUUGGUGGACAAAAAGGUGGUUGUCAGGCCUUGAUUAUCUGAUCUCUGUUAAGUGGCAAAGACUGGGAGCUUAGUGUCUCUGUCUUUUUUUUUUUUUUUUGUUCCUGCUUUUCUUGAAGCUUCUACUAUUUUGGGAAGCCGGUAUGUAUGCCUUGAGAUCACAAUACAAUGAUUUAAUCAGGAACUUGCCACCCUCAAUUGUAACAUUGAAAAUUGUUAUGUCGGGGCACCUGGGUGGCUCAGUCGGUUAAGCGUCCGACUUCAGCUCAG